This 485-nucleotide ribosomal RNA is filed under the name uncultured bacterium. RNAcentral describes it as "partial 16S ribosomal RNA". It matches the Rfam family "Bacterial small subunit ribosomal RNA", at positions 28 to 523 of the family's 1533-position model. The record is from RNAcentral.
GACGAACGCUGGCGGCGUGCUUAACACAUGCAAGUCGAACGGUGAAAGCGGAGCUUGCUCCGCUGGAUCAGUGGCGAACGGGUGAGUAACACGUGGGCAACCUGCCCCUCACUUCGGGAUAACUCCGGGAAACCGGGGCUAAUACCGGAUAUGACCUCCUUGGGCAUCCUUGGAGGUGGAAAGUUUUUCGGUGAGGGAUGGGCCCGCGGCCUAUCAGCUUGUUGGUGAGGUAGUGGCUCACCAAGGCGACGACGGGUAGCCGGCCUGAGAGGGCGACCGGCCGCACUGGGACGGAGACACGGCCCGGACUCCUACGGGAGGCAGCAGUGGGGAAUAUUGCGCAAUGGGCGAAAGCCUGACGCAGCAACGCCGCGUGCGGGAUGACGGCCUUCGGGUUGUAAACCGCUUUCAGCAGGGAAGAAGCCGCAAGGUGACGGUACCUGCAGAAGAAGCACCGGCUAACUACGUGCCAGCCGCCGCAGUAA